GAUUGGUGCUGUCACGAUUAAAUUCCCGCAGGUGUUUGUUCGGAGGGGUUUGACAAUGUUGGGUUUGGAUCCCGGGCACUUUGGGACCCAUUCUUCCCGGAUGAUGGCGGUAACAGAGGCGCCCCGCCUGGUUUUAAGUGAGGACCUAGGGAAACGUUUAGGCAGGUGGGAGUCAGUACGGUUUAAGUCCUGUUUCAGGCCAGUCUAUUUGGUUUAAUGGCUAUGGACGUAUGGGUUUGUGUUUGGGGCUAUGCCUUGUCGCUAAUUACUUUCGUUUCAGGUUUGGUGACAUAGUUGGUGGGUCAUUCUUAUAUCUAAGGGGCACAGAUGGGAGCCGUGUUUCGGUUCAAACGCAUCUGGGCUUUCCUUUGGAAUUGGUGGAGCAGG
Non-coding RNA from Pelobates cultripes (western spadefoot toad), 387 nucleotides. NCBI's taxonomy places the organism in Eukaryota, Metazoa, Chordata, Amphibia, Anura, Pelobatidae. The record is from the annotation of a GenBank genome assembly.